This 323-nucleotide small RNA is filed under the name Pan troglodytes (chimpanzee). RNAcentral's name for it is "retained intron". Lineage: Eukaryota; Metazoa; Chordata; Mammalia; Primates; Hominidae. The record is from RNAcentral.
CCUGGAUGCCGAGCAGAGUUAUGCGAUGGCGGUGGAAGCAGGGCAGAGCCGAAGCAGCCCGCUCCUCAAGAGGCCGGUGCGGACCCAGGCGGUGCUGGACCAGUCAGAUGUGUACACCCAUGUCCUGUCAGCCUUCGUGGAAAAGAAGGUGGGCCGCAGCUUUCCGCCUCUUCUGGACUGAGAAUGCUCAAAACAAGGAAGUUGCGGAAAACGAGGAGACUUCAUGUGAUUAGAGUCACUUGAAGUGAUUAGAAUCACUGGAGUUUCCUUGGGUGAGGCCCUAGUUUGGCUUCUAAUGCUGAGGCCUAAAGCAUAAUUGUUGA